UAGGAUUUAGGCUAAAUAAACCAGUUGCCUUCAAAGCAAUAAUUACUUGUCGCAAUCAAGUAAUCCUAU
This 69-nucleotide transfer RNA is filed under the name Histampica haimaensis. RNAcentral's name for it is "Histampica sp. h LQ-2021 tRNA-Trp". It matches the Rfam family "tRNA". Rfam says of the family: Transfer RNA (tRNA) molecules are approximately 80 nucleotides in length. Their secondary structure includes four short double-helical elements and three loops (D, anti-codon, and T loops). Further hydrogen bonds mediate the characteristic L-shaped molecular structure. tRNAs have two regions of fundamental functional importance: the anti-codon, which is responsible for specific mRNA codon recognition, and the 3' end, to which the tRNAs corresponding amino acid is attached (by aminoacyl-tRNA synthetases). tRNAs cope with the degeneracy of the genetic code in two manners: having more than one tRNA (with a specific anti-codon) for a particular amino acid; and 'wobble' base-pairing, i.e. permitting non-standard base-pairing at the 3rd anti-codon position. Lineage: Eukaryota; Metazoa; Echinodermata; Ophiuroidea; Amphilepidida; Ophiactidae. The record is from RNAcentral.